UUUUCCUACGGGACGCAGCAGUGGGGAAUAUUGGGCAAUGGGCGCAAGCCUGAACCAGCAACGCCGCGUGAAGGAAGAAGGCUUUCGGGUUGUAAACUUCUUUUGUCAGGGACGAAGCAAGUGACGGUACCUGACGACUAAGCCACGGCUAACUAAGUGCCAGCAGCCGCGGUAAUACGUAGGUGGCAAGCGUUAUCCGGAUUUAUUGGGUGUAAAGGGCGUGUAGGCGGAAAUGCAAGUCAGAUGUGAAAAUUAUGGGCUCAACACAUUGCCUGCAUUUGAAACUGUAUUUCUUG
This 296-nucleotide ribosomal RNA is filed under the name uncultured bacterium. Its description in RNAcentral is "partial 16S ribosomal RNA". It matches the Rfam family "Bacterial small subunit ribosomal RNA", at positions 334 to 644 of the family's 1533-position model. The record is from RNAcentral.